This 3234-nucleotide long non-coding RNA is filed under the name Olea europaea subsp. europaea. The record is from RNAcentral. Lineage: Eukaryota; Viridiplantae; Streptophyta; Magnoliopsida; Lamiales; Oleaceae.
CCAAAAUUUGCUAGUAAAAACUUUAUCUCUAUUAGAGACAAUGGUUUGAAGCAUCCCAUGGUGCUUAUAUGCGUUGUCCAUAAAUAGUUUAGCCACUAACAAAGCAGUGAAGGGGUGUGAAAGGGAUACGAAAUGUCCAUACUUGGUUAACUUGUCCACUACCACUAGUAUGGCAAUUUUAGCUCCUGAAGUGGGAAGUCCUUCAAUAAAGUCCAUGCUAAUAUGGCUUCACGAGUGAAGGGGCUCAAGUAAAGGUUGUAGUAAUCCAGGAUACUUUGUAUGUUCCCCUUUACACCUCCAGCGAACCUCACAUUGUAACACCUCCAUCUUAAUAUCUUGAUUCAUUACUGCCCAAUAGAACUGCUAUUUUACUCUAUAUAUGCUGCUAUAAAUGCCUGAAUGACCUCUAUCAUGUGAGCUAUGGCUAUGAAUGCCAGAAUGACCUCUAUCCUAUGAGCUAUGGCUAUGAAUGCCUGAAUGACCUGUACCCUGUGAGCUAUAUAAAUUCUAAAUCAGUUUUAGCAAACCACUGUUCAGACUCAAGCCUUAGUAACAAGGCCUAAAUCUUUUCUUCAACCUUGUUAUCUCCCCGGUAGCUAUCCAUAACCUCUUGAAUCCGGGCUGGAGUUACCACAGAAAUUCCCAGACAAUCAAGAUUUCUUUCAUCCCUUUUGGAUAAUGCAUCUGCCACAAUGUUAUCCACUCCCUUUUUAUACACAAUUUCAUAACUAAGCCCUAGCAAUUUGGUUAGCAAUCUCUGCUGUAGAGGGGUGGCGAUCCUUUGCUCAAGUAAGUACUUGAGUGACUGAUCAGUCUUUAUAAUAAAAUGGUUGCCCUCCAGAUAGUGCCUCCACCUACUGAUUCCAGUUAGUAGGGCCAAUAAUCCUUCUCGUUGACGGAUAGCCCCAUAUUCUUGACCCUACAGUUUUUCUCAAAUAAGCCAAGGUCUACUAUCUUACAUCGAUACAGCCCCUAUACCCCCUUGACAUGCAUCUAUUUCAAAUAUGAAUGGCUUGUUAAAAUCAAUAUAGCUAAGACUAGCGUGGAGCUCAUUGCCUCUUUCAACAAAACAAAUUUUGAAUUUACUGCCUCUGACCACUGGAAGCUGUCCUUUUUUUGAGAAAAUCAGUCAAUGGUUUAGCAAUGACCCCAUAGUUUUUGACAAACUUCCUGUAGUACGUCCUAGAAACCCCCUCAACUGAUUGAUAUUUCUAGGUUUAGGCCAUAGUUGCAUGGCCUCAAUUUUGCUGGGAUCAGCUAAAACUCCAUGUUGAUUAAUGAUAUGUUCUAAGUAUUCCAUCUGUUCCUGACUAAUGCUGCACUGAGACCUCUUGACAUAUAAUUGCUGCUUCUGAAGAAUCUCAAGUACAGAUUUUAGGUGUUGUCAAUGGAUAGUUAAGUCCUUGUUGUAAAUUAGGAUGUCCUCGAAAAACACCAAGACAUAAUCCCUUCAUUGCCUUUUGAAUACCUUAUUUAUGAGGCUUUGAAUAGCAGGAGCAAUAGUGAGGCCGAAUGACAAAUUCAACUACUCUGACUUGGUGAUAGCCAGACCGAAGGUCAAUUUUAGGGAAGUACUUUGCCCCAUUCAACUCAUCAAUUAGUUCACCAAUCAUUGGCAUUGGAAACUUGUCCUUACUAGUUAGGCCAUUUAAUUGCCUGUAGUUCACUCAAAACCGCCAUAAUCCAUCUUCCUUUUUCACCAAGAGGGCAGGAGAUGCAAAGGGGCUCUUGCUAGAUUGAAUUAUGCCACUCUCCAGCAUUUCCUUAACCAAUCUCUCAAUUUCAGAUUUCUGGAUGAAAGGGCAUCUGUAGGGUCUAAUCUCGUUGUUCUUGUACUGAUUCAGUAUCUUUAUAAAUAUAUUCUUCUUGUUCUUGUUCUGGUUAUGUUAAAAAUAUUUUCCCUUUGAAUUGUGCGGAUAAGGUAACAGGUUGUGCGGGUAAUUGUUGGACCAAGCUGCCUCGUAGAUGAAGAGGGGCAUUAUGUGCUCCACUUGUUGUUGCAGAUUCCCUUUUCCAUUCUUAAUACAUUAACUAGAUCCUUAUAAGGUAAUUUCAGAUAACUAUAUCUAUUAAAUAUGUAGAAGGUUGGCUUUACUUUCUAUAAAAAUCUGUGCCCCGUGUCCACAUUUGGUUUUCAGUAAAGCUCCUUGGAAAGGAAACACUAUCGUUUAAUGUUCUUGUUAAUCCAUGUAGAUUUCUUAUUCUUGCUCUAGAAUAACUUCCGUUUUCAUUGUAUUUCAUUCAAUUCCAUGUUUACCAUUCGGAACUGGAUGAUGUCUUCGCCAAAUGGCAUAUGGUACAGGUUAGUAUUCUUUGUUAUUUCUUAAAUGCUCAUGAUACCAAUCUGGUAUUACUGUAUUCAUGCAAGUGAAACGUUCAGCAUACAAGGAAGCUGGUCACUUGAGACAUAAGGCUGCCUUACUAAUGAUCUUGUCGGUAUUCUCUUUGUUGCAGGAUCCCGUCCUCUUCCCUGUUUCUUCAUGAAGAAGCUGAAAGACCAGUUAUACAUAGAGAUUUAAAAGCAUUGAACAUCCUUCUAGAUGCAGUAUGCAUCGUGAAAUCCUAGCUGGUUUCAUGAUUCCUUUUUUGACGGCUUUGCUUUUCGAAACUGUCACUCUAGGAUUAUAACGCAAAAGCUUUCUGAUUUUGGUCUUGCCGAAGAUGGUCCCAAGCGAACACAACUUGUUGGAAUGGGCAAGACCAUAUCUCAAUAGGAGAGAAAAGAAGAUUCUACAGCUCCAUCCCCGUCUUGAGGGUCAUCUCUCAGUCAAAGGUGUGUAGAAGGUUGUGCAGUUGGCGGCUCUAUGCCUUAGUCGUGAUGCAAAGGCUCGAUCCCUGAUGAGUGAAGUUGUCAAAGCCUUUUUUCCGUUGCCUAAUUUGAAGGACACGACUUGUUCCUACUCCAAUUUGUAGGCCAUGCACUCGAAACAUGCUGGUGCCACCAUAGAUACCAGAAGAGUGUAGCCGCAGAUUGGUCAACCAGAGGAUGAGGAUGAGGAUGGUGCCCAAUGAUAUUCUUACUGCGGUUAGGCUUUUUCUAUAAUUGCAUGUCUCCCUUUUUUCGGUAAACUAGAGAAGAAAGAAGUUUGCUAAGGAAAUCUCCAAUAUGAGGCGGUGGGGAGUUGUUGAAAUUGUUGCUUGAAUUGUGUUUAGGUUUGAAUAAUUUUAACAGCCACAUCACCUUCCCGUCUGCCAUGUGGAUUUUUCUUAAUGGAUUUGAAUGGAAUGAUGAAU